This 253-nucleotide ribosomal RNA is filed under the name uncultured bacterium. Its description in RNAcentral is "partial 16S ribosomal RNA". It matches the Rfam family "Bacterial small subunit ribosomal RNA", at positions 524 to 776 of the family's 1533-position model. The record is from RNAcentral.
UACGGAGGGUGCGAGCGUUGUCCGGAAUCACUGGGCGUAAAGGGCGCGUAGGCGGCCGUGUAAGUCACUUGUGAAAUCCCGGGGCUCAACUCCGGGGCUGCAGGUGAGACUGCAUGGCUAGAGCUUGGUAGAGGCGAGUGGAAUUCCCGGUGUAGCGGUGGAAUGCGUAGAUAUCGGGAGGAACACCUGUGGCGAAAGCGGCGCACUGGACCACAACUGACGCUGAUGCGCGAAAGCUAGGGGAGCAAACAGG